This 623-nucleotide ribosomal RNA is filed under the name Cellulomonas sp. RNAcentral's name for it is "bacterial SSU rRNA". It matches the Rfam family "Bacterial small subunit ribosomal RNA", at positions 184 to 822 of the family's 1533-position model. The record is from RNAcentral. Lineage: Bacteria; Bacillati; Actinomycetota; Actinomycetes; Micrococcales; Cellulomonadaceae.
CGGCAUCGGUAGCGUCUGGAAAGAUUUAUCGGUGAGGGAUGGGCUCGCGGCCUAUCAGCUUGUUGGUGGGGUGAUGGCCUACCAAGGCGACGACGGGUAGCCGGCCUGAGAGGGCGACCGGCCACACUGGGACUGAGACACGGCCCAGACUCCUACGGGAGGCAGCAGUGGGGAAUAUUGCACAAUGGGCGCAAGCCUGAUGCAGCGACGCCGCGUGAGGGAUGACGGCCUUCGGGUUGUAAACCUCUUUCAGCAGGGAAGAAGCGCAAGUGACGGUACCUGCAGAAGAAGCGCCGGCUAACUACGUGCCAGCAGCCGCGGUAAUACGUAGGGCGCAAGCGUUGUCCGGAAUUAUUGGGCGUAAAGAGCUCGUAGGCGGUUUGUCGCGUCUGCUGUGAAAUCCUCAGGCUCAACCUGGGGCUUGCAGUGGGUACGGGCAGACUAGAGUGCGGUAGGGGUGACUGGAAUUCCUGGUGUAGCGGUGGAAUGCGCAGAUAUCAGGAGGAACACCGAUGGCGAAGGCAGGUCACUGGGCCGCAACUGACGCUGAGGAGCGAAAGCAUGGGGAGCGAACAGGAUUAGAUACCCUGGUAGUCCAUGCCGUAAACGUUGGGCACUAGGUG